Molecule: long non-coding RNA, 2476 nt
Organism: Engraulis encrasicolus (European anchovy)
Lineage: Eukaryota; Metazoa; Chordata; Actinopteri; Clupeiformes; Engraulidae
Exons: 4
Source: RefSeq, a predicted model, not a curated record
AAGGUGACCCUCGAAAAGUGCUUCAGAAACCGAACUUCGCUCCACAGCCUCCGAACAAACAGACAUUCAGUUCAUAAAAAAGAAAGACUUAUAUAGAGGAUUUAAAACCUCUGUUCGGAAUAGUCCGCACUGCAAGGCUAUUCAAAUUCGCAACGUGUAAUGACGAACUACUGUCUCCGAGGCGUAUGUAGAUAUUCGGCCGGCGUAAUAAUACUUUUCGCCUCGAGAGGUGCCACGGUUGAAGCGUCAUCAGAAGGAACGAAUCAGCUAACUGCUAUGUCAGCUGAGAUGAGGAGUAAACGGAAGUAGCAUGGCUACCGAAGGAGCUGGUCGAGUACCGAGGAAGACGAAGUCUCGACCGAAAAUGUACAAAAAAAGACAUCUUCGAAACGCAAGUUGUGUUACAUGCAUAUAUCUUCGGUCAAGCAUGAAGAAACACAGAAUUUCACCAAUAUACGGUGGAAUACAUAUCGAAAUUUUCGGCAGCGGCUAGAAUUGAAGGGUGAGUGCAGAGACGUAGCAGAACAUUUUAAGCGUAUUGAGUUGGAGUUUGAUGAAAUUCCCGAGGAUGCGGCUCUCCAUCCCACAUGCUACCGGAGGUUUAUUGACAAGCGGGAAAUUGAACGAGUCACACGGCGUGUCUUGCGAGAGGCAGAGAGGGGAGAUGGCCAACAAGACCCCCGAACUAGCCAGGCUACCUCCGCUUUAUCGGAUGUGACCACCACUCCGACCAGGAAACUGCGAUCCAGAUCAAGCUUGGCCAUCACGAGCUCUGGCCCCGUUCUUCCUUCUGUCUGCAUGAUUUGCAAGAAAGACAGCAAAUGUAUCGUCGCGAGUGGCAGACGUCAAAGAGAACGAAAACACAGACUUUAACCGCAGGCAAGUUGCAGGAAGCAGCCGAAGUAAAGGAAGCCAAGAGCAUCCUCAUUCACAUCAAGGACAGAGACUGUGUGGCUCUGGAGGUGCAGUACCACAGAAGUUGCUACAGAGAGUACACAAGGUUUUUGAGUGAGCCUGUCAGAGCAGAGAAAGAACAGAUUGGGCCAACAUUUGACCUGAGCUACAAGUUAUUCUGCGAGAGGGUAAUCCGCUAAAGGCUACUGAUCAACCAAGAGGUGCUGAGGAUGAGCCAACUGAGGAAGGCCUUUAUUGCCCUUGUGCAGUCAAGUGAAGGUGUUGAUGCUUCAACCUACAGACAGGAUAUAUUGAAGAAGAGGCUCAGUCGUGAUUUUCCUCAGCUAGUGUUCCACACCCCCGCCAAACGCAACACAUCUGAACUGGUUUUUGCUGAGAACUUGUCGACGAAUGCAGUCUUGGACUUGUUACCAUCAGGUGCGGAGACGACUCAGUCCAGCGAAAUGAGCCAGACAGACAGCGACACAGAAAGGAGGAAGUCAAAGCAACCAACCACAGCAGAGGAGACACGGACACUUUACACAGCAGCUUUGCUUUUGAAGAGGCUGCUUAGUCACAGUCCUGGCAUGUCAUGCCCAUGGCCCCCAACUGCAGUAAACUUCAAUCUCACUGAAGUCAUUUGCUGUGGCAUGCGCAAAAGAUGUGUACCUGGAUGCUUUCACACAGUUCAUGAAAAUGCUGGUUCAUGUGUAUGCCACUUGUUUUGAUUUUUUUAUUUGUUGUAUAGUUAUUAGUGAAUAAAUGAAUACAUGAAUACCUGAAUGGUCCUUAUCAUUGAUCAUUAGAUUAUUUCCAUUUAUUAAUGUGAAUAUGAAAAGGUAACCUUAUCAUCCACUUGCAUAAUAGUUGUUGGUGCUAUAAACAAAGCACUGUUACAAUCACUUAGAGGGUUAUCAAUAGCCUGGGUUAUCUAUAGCCUACUUAUUGUAAUUGUUUCCAUUAAUUGCUCAAAACCACAGGAUGAAAUGUCAAUUGCAAAAUUGUGCCUUGUGCUGUAAAUAAAGCACUGUUUAUGAUUUAUUUAGAACUUAUCCCAAUCCAGAGAUAUAUGCAUGAGUAUUAUUUUUGAUAAUUGUUAUUAUAUGUGAACAUGAAAAGGUAACCUUAUCAUCCACUUGCACAAUAGUUGUUGGUGCUAUAAACAAAGCACUGUUUGGAGUUACAAUCACUUAGAGGGUUAUCAAUAGCCUGGGUUAUCUAUAGCCUACUUAUUGCAAUUGUUUCCAUUAAUUGCUCAAAUCCACAGUAUGAAAUGUCAAUAGCAUAAUUAUGCUUUGUUCAGUAAAUAAAGCAUUAUUUAUUAUUUAUUUAGAAUUUGUCCCAAUCCAGAAAUGUAGGCACGAGUAUUAUUUUUGAUAAUUGUUAUUAUAUACCCUCUUCAAAAGGGUAUUUUGGGAGAUUCUUAUAGGUAGGUCAGACAGACGGCUUGUCAUUAUUUUCAGUUUUUCAAACGGCUUGCCACUUUUUCCCCGUAAAUCGGAUACGUGAUUGGUUUAAAACGGUCACAUGGUGUCCAGUGACGUAAAAAUCGUCAUUCCCUACAGAGGGUAAGAUUUCUUAC